This is a non-coding RNA of Xyrichtys novacula (pearly razorfish), 1513 nucleotides long. Lineage: Eukaryota; Metazoa; Chordata; Actinopteri; Labriformes; Labridae. The record is from the annotation of a GenBank genome assembly.
AGAGGAGGAUCUACACAAGUUUUUUACAUCAUGUUUUACAUCAUGCAUCAUUUACAUCAUGUUUUUUUGUAGUGGCAUAAAUAAAAAGUGACAUUUGUGAGACUAUACAGUGUUUUGUAAAUAAUUUUACAAAGAACGCCUGGGCCAUUGCCUGCAUUUUGAUGUAAAUAGAGGUAAAUCACUAUGUUCUUUGUUAAAAAUUUGCAUAUGUUUUGAAGUUUACAAUUUUUAUUUGAAGUUUAAGUUUUAAAAACAGUUCAUCACACAUAUUUGUGGUUUUCACAGUAAAAAUGUUACUUUUUUCCACUCGGAUUUUAUGUUUUGUGUGUGAAUUUGGGUCCAUUGUGUAAAUUCAGUAUGUCAACAUGAUAAAAUAACUGUAAAUUCGCACAGGUGAGGUUGUGCUGAAAAAAAUGAUACCAGGCAAGGCACGUGAUUGUCAAAUUUUGUGUCAAUAUGACAAAGCGUAUAGGCGUGAAUCUCAACAAUAUGUAUUUUCACCUUAGGGGACAAGAAAAAAUUGACUUUUUUCUCCUGCCAUGGGGGGGAGCUCUUUUGGGGAGUAAAAAUUCCUUCACAAAUGUGUUGAUGGCUGGACAUUGCAUCAUCCUAGAAAACUUGGAGGCCAGUGAGGACAAAAAUAAAAAGUUAUAAGACUUUUAAAUAUGUGGAUUUUAGGGUUAUCUUUGGCGCCCCCUAGAACCUAAACCGUGGGGUGCAGCGUCAUGAUUUUGAUAACUUUUAAUGGCCAUGGGGUGUAGAUUGGCCUGAGCAAAUGUGUUGCCGGUGGAACGAAAGCCUUAGGAGGAGUUAGCCACAUUCCAAUGUGUGCGGAUCGGCAAAAAAUGCGGAAUAACCCUUUAACCGUACAUUUGACAGAUACGCGCUCAUGGACUUUUUUGUAGAUCUUAUUGAGAUACAUGUGUGUGUCAAUUUUUGUGUCAUUUUGCCAAAGCGUAAAGGCGUGACACUCAACAAUGUGUAUUUUCACCUUAGGGGUCAAGAAAAAAAUGGACUUUUUUCUCCUGCCAUGGGGGGGCGCUCUUUUGGGGAGUAAAAAUUCCUUCACAGAUGUGUUGAUGGCUGGACAUUGCAUCAUCCUAGAAAACUUGGAGGCCAGUGAGGACAAAAAUAAAAAGUUAUAAGACUUUUAAAUAUGUGGAUUUUAGGGUUAUUUUUGGCGCCCCCUAGAACCUUAAACCGUGGGGUGCAGCGUCAUGAUUUGAAUAACUUUUAAUGGCCAUGGGGUGUAGAUUGGCCUGAGCAAAUGUGGUGCCGGUGGAACGAAAGCCUUCGGAGGAGUUAGCGAAAUUCCAAUGUGUGCAGAUCUGCAAAAAAUGCAAAAUAACCCAUUAACCGUACAUUUGACAGAUACGCCCGCACUGACUUUUUUGUAGAUCUUAUUGAGAUACAUGUGUGUGUCAAUUUUUGUGUCAAUAUGACAAAGCGUACAGCCGUCAUGUGAAUUUUCACCUUAGGGGGCGCUAUGGAGCCAUUUUGCAUUUUAUUGUUU